Molecule: long non-coding RNA, 695 nt
Organism: Galeopterus variegatus (Sunda flying lemur)
Lineage: Eukaryota; Metazoa; Chordata; Mammalia; Dermoptera; Cynocephalidae
Exons: 2
Source: RefSeq, a predicted model, not a curated record
GCGGGCGAGAGUUAGCGCUCCUGGCGAGGACAGAUUAAGGCGAACCCUCGAACGGUGGACAUUCGAGCGGCGCCUCGCCACGUCUCUGCCCCGACUCCGUACCGGACUUGAUGCCUGUCCCGGGUCGUGACGCACGCGCCGGAAGACAAAAGUGUCACCUGGCUCGCUCCCUCCGUGGGGAAGAGAGCCCACUCCCCCUGCGGGCGCGGAACGUCCCAUCUCUGUUCCUGCCGGCCGGGGCCGCAGACGCCGGGGAUCCCUGCAGCGGCGCCCAGAGGGUUAACGCAGGCGUUCUGCUGCUGCUGCAAACCGGCCUCGCAGGAUGCGCACUUAAAAUCCCCGUGUUUUCGUUGUGGGUUUGCUUUUUCUACCUAUGCCUAGCUAGUGGCUCUUUUAGUUCACGCGUAGCGUCUCAGCCCUACACCCUUCUUUCCUGAGGGGAAGAGGAAAUGGAAAGAGAGAGAGAGAAAAACAAACAAACAAACAAAAAAACCACUGGAUAAAGUGCGGUAUUUCAAUGCUAAAAGAUAAAGACUGAAAGCAAUGUAGAAAUAACUGCACACUACAUUAAGGAAUUCAGUUUUUUUCUCCCACGGUUGUGGUACUGAAACCUCCCUAAUAGCAUAUUUCUCAAUGUAAGUAUUGGAAUGCUUAAUUUCCUAAAAAAAUAAAAAUAAAAAAUUAAACUACCUGAA